This 1231-nucleotide ribosomal RNA is filed under the name metagenome. Its description in RNAcentral is "bacterial SSU rRNA". It matches the Rfam family "Bacterial small subunit ribosomal RNA", at positions 8 to 1240 of the family's 1533-position model. The record is from RNAcentral.
AGAGUUUGAUCAUGGCUCAGAUUGAACGCUGGCGGCAGGCCUAACACAUGCAAGUCGAACGGUAGCAGGAAGUGCUUGCACUUUGCUGACGAGUGGCGGACGGGUGAGUAAUACUUAGGGAUCUGCCUUUGAGAGGGGGAUAACUAUUGGAAACGAUAGCUAAUACCGCAUAACGUUUACGGACCAAAGGGGGCUUCGGCUCUCGCUCAAAGAGGAACCUAAGCGAGAUUAGCUUGUUGGUGAGGUAAAGGCACACCAAGGCGACGAUCUCUAGCUGUUCUGAGAGGAAGAUCAGCCACACUGGGACUGAGACACGGCCCAGACUCCUACGGGAGGCAGCAGUGGGGAAUAUUGCACAAUGGGGGAAACCCUGAUGCAGCCAUGCCGCGUGUGUGAAGAAGGCCUUCGGGUUGUAAAGCACUUUCAGUCGUGAGGAAAGGUUAGUAGUUAAUACCUGCUAGCUGUGACGUUAGCGACAGAAGAAGCACCGGCUAACUCCGUGCCAGCAGCCGCGGUAAUACGGAGGGUGCGAGCGUUAAUCGGAAUUACUGGGCGUAAAGCGCACGCAGGCGGAUUGUUAAGCUAGAGGUGAAAGCCCCGCGCUCAACGUGGGAAUGCCCUUUAGAACUGGCAGUCUAGAGUCUUGGAGGGGAGUGGAAUUCCAGGUGUAGCGGUGAAAUGCGUAGAGAUCUGGAGGAACAUCAGUGGCGAAGGCGACUCCCUGGCCAAAGACUGACGCUCAUGUGCGAAAGUGUGGGUAGCGAACAGGAUUAGAUACCCUGGUAGUCCACACCGUAAACGCUGUCUACUAGCUGUUUGUGUAUUAUAUACGUGAGUAGCGAAGCUAACGCGCUAAGUAGACCGCCUGGGGAGUACGGCCGCAAGGUUAAAACUCAAAUGAAUUGACGGGGGCCCGCACAAGCGGUGGAGCAUGUGGUUUAAUUCGAUGCAACGCGAAGAACCUUACCUACACUUGACAUACAGAGAACUUACCAGAGAUGGUUCGGUGCCUUCGGGAACUCUGAUACAGGUGCUGCAUGGCUGUCGUCAGCUCGUGUCGUGAGAUGUUGGGUUAAGUCCCGCAACGAGCGCAACCCUUGUCCUUAGUUGCCAGCAUUUAGUUGGGCACUCUAAGGAGACUGCCGGUGACAAACCGGAGGAAGGUGGGGACGACGUCAAGUCAUCAUGGCCCUUACGUGUAGGGCUACACACGUGCUACAAUGGCGAGUAC